AUCCUGAGGAAUCUGGUAACAUUGUCCAGCAACCAUACGCCGAACCAGUGCAGGAAGUAAGAGCCGAUGAUCAACAGGUCUACACCCCACUACGCAAGGUCCAUUACACCCAACCACCUAAGUGGGUCGACCCAAGAACAAUGCUGCCAAAGCCUUUAGACUUACCUGGCCCAAAGUUGGAAUUGUUUUCUUUACAAAAUCCUUCAACACAUGCGGAUGAUCCUCCUU
This is a long non-coding RNA of Contarinia nasturtii (swede midge), 228 nucleotides long. RefSeq lists it as uncharacterized. The transcript has 3 exons. The record is from RefSeq and is a predicted model, not a curated record. NCBI's taxonomy places the organism in Eukaryota, Metazoa, Arthropoda, Insecta, Diptera, Cecidomyiidae.